This 492-nucleotide ribosomal RNA is filed under the name uncultured bacterium. Its description in RNAcentral is "partial 16S ribosomal RNA". It matches the Rfam family "Bacterial small subunit ribosomal RNA", at positions 29 to 507 of the family's 1533-position model. The record is from RNAcentral.
AGUGAACGCUGGCGGUAGGCCUAACACAUGCCAGUCGAACGGCAGCACAGUAAGAGCUUGCUCUUACGGGUGGCGAGUGGCGGACGGGUGAGGAAUACAUCGGAAUCUACUUUUUCGUGGGGGAUAACGUAGGGAAACUUACGCUAAUACCGCAUACGACCUACGGGUGAUAGCAGGGGAUCUUCGGACCUUGCGCGAUUGAAUGAGCCGAUGUCGGAUUAGCUAGUUGGCGGGGUAAAGGCCCACCAAGGCGACGAUCCGUAGCUGGUCUGAGAGGAUGAUCAGCCACACUGGAACUGAGACACGGUCCAGACUCCUACGGGAGGCAGCAGUGGGGAAUAUUGGACAAUGGGCGCAAGCCUGAUCCAGCCAUACCGCGUGGGUGAAGAAGGCCUUCGGGUUGUAAAGCCCUUUUGUUGGGAAAGAAAAGCAGCAGGUUAAUACCCCGCUGUUCUGACGGUACCCAAAGAAUAAGCACCGGCUAACUUCGUG